This 265-nucleotide long non-coding RNA is filed under the name Malus domestica (apple). RNAcentral's name for it is "long non-coding RNA (MDOM_LNC017023)". Lineage: Eukaryota; Viridiplantae; Streptophyta; Magnoliopsida; Rosales; Rosaceae. The record is from RNAcentral.
ACUGCGAGACCGACCAAUUCUACGGUGACAGAGCUAUCUAUGCCAACUUAAGAUAUCACCGGUUGCUUCCACAGUGCUGUUGAUGCCAACGGAAGAUGUGUCAGCAAAAAAGGAAAAGAAAAAGAUCUCAAGUUGUGAGAGUUUGCGCAGGGCAAUUUUGUGUUGAUUUUGUCGGGCUUUUCCUGAUGCACAACUUCCGCUAUUUAUAGCACUGGACCCUGAAUCUGAGAUAGAAUCCUAUUCGGACUAGGUUUUCCCUCUCCGG